AUUGAACGUUGGCGGCAGGCCUAAAACAUGCAAGUCGAACGGUAACAGCGAGAGCUUGCUCUCGGCUGACAAGUGGCGAACGGGUGAGUAACACGUAGGAAUCUACCCAAUAGUGGGGGACAACCCGGGGAAACCCGGGCUAAUACCGCAUACGCCCUCUUAUCGAAAGAUAAGGGAGGAAAGCGGGGGAUCUUCGGACCUCGCGCUAUUGGAGGAGCCUGCGUCGGAUUAGCUAGUUGGUAGGGUAAAGGCCUACCAAGGCGACGAUCCGUAGCUGGUCUGAGAGGACGAUCAGCCACACUGGAACUGAGACACGGCCCAGACUCCUACGGGAGGCAGCAGUGGGGAAUCUUGCGCAAUGGGCGAAAGCCUGACGCAGCGACGCCGCGUGA
Molecule: ribosomal RNA, 392 nt
Filed under: uncultured bacterium
Lineage: Bacteria
Description: bacterial SSU rRNA
Rfam family: Bacterial small subunit ribosomal RNA
Source: RNAcentral